AAACUUUUCAGCUAGAGUAUGAUAGAGGAAAGCAGAAUUUCUAGUGUAGAGGUGAAAUUCGUAGAUAUUAGAAAGAAUACCAAUUGCGAAGGCAGCUUUCUGGAUCAUUACUGACACUGAGGAACGAAAGCAUGGGUAGCGAAGAGGAUUAGAUACCCUCGUAGUCCAUGCCGUAAACGAUGUGUGUUAGACGUUGGAAAUUUAUUUUCAGUGUCGCAGCGAAAGCGAUAAACACACCGCCUGGGGAGUACGACCGCAAGGUUAAAACUCAAAUGAAUUGACGGGGACCCGCACAAGUAGUGGAGCAUGUGGUUUAAUUCGAAGAUACGCGCAGAACCUUACCAACACUUGACAUGUUCGUCGCGACUUUAAGAGAUUAAAGUUUUCGGUUCGGCCGGACGAAACACAGGUGCUGCAUGGCUGUCGUCAGCUCGUGUCGUGAGAUGUUGGGUUAAGUCCCGCAACGAGCGCAACCCUCACUUUUAGUUGCCAUCAUUAAGUUGGGCACUCUGAAAGAACUGCCAGUGAUAAGCUGGAGGAAGGUGGGGAUGACGUCAAGUCCUCAUGGCCCUUACGUGUUGGGCUACACACGUGCUACAAUGGUAUCUACAACAGGAAGCAAAACUGCGAAGUUAAGCAAACCCUUAAAAGAUACCUCAGUUCGGAUUGCACUCUGCAACUCGAGUGCAUGAAGCUGGAAUUACUAGUAAUCGUGGAUCAGCGUGCCACGGUGAAUGCGUUCCCGGGUCUUGUACACACCGCCCGUCACACCAUGGGAGUUGGUUCUACCUUAAGGCAAGGUUUAAAACCCUUGACCACGGUAUAGUCAGCGACUGGGGUGAAGUCGUAACAAGGUAGCCGUAGG
This 865-nucleotide ribosomal RNA is filed under the name marine metagenome. RNAcentral describes it as "bacterial SSU rRNA". It matches the Rfam family "Bacterial small subunit ribosomal RNA", at positions 630 to 1506 of the family's 1533-position model. The record is from RNAcentral.